UUUUUGAAAUUUAAAUACAAAGACACAUUACAGUAUGUACCUUUUCUUGUUUAAUAUCUAUCCCCUAAUAUUAUUUAUUUUGUGAGGUUCAACUAUAUCUUGAAAACAAUUGACUUUCUCACUGCUAUAAACACAUUUUUAAAAGUCAUUUGGGUAGUUUCUACAAGAGAAAUUAUGAAUUGCAUUGAUAUGAAUAUUUUAGCAUGAAAAUGUUGGUUGACACAGAACUAAUACCUUCUUGAAUAUAAACAAGAAAUAGAAUUGAUAAAUUACAAGGUAAGUACACAUUUAGAUUUGGAAGAUACUACUAAACAGUUUUUCCAACUUGUAUGUAUGAUGAUAAAGAGUUUUCCAAAGUACUUUCGUUCUCUUGAUUGAAAGCUGUUAGGACUAUUUCAUAGAGAUUCCAAUAUCAUUGAAUUCUAAAGGGAAAAAGUGGAUUUCUUAUCCCUUUUCAAGAGUCUGUGCAAAAUUUUCUGCUUCAUUUCCAAGACCAAAAACAUGUCACAAGGGAUUAUUGGAAGAGGAAGACUACAAAAACAACCAGACUUUUCACUUUUCUCAGGUCAAGAGCUGCAUCCUUGCCUUGUGUUAUCAUAGUUAAGAUGCUCUCUCACUUGACUCUGCAAAUACAUGGAAUAUGUACUCAAAAGGUGAUGAAACAUCUGAGUAUCUUAAACUGGCACCAUUACAAAAGUUCUACCACAGCAGGUACCCAGAUGUAGAUGGAAUCAUCUGAUAUGUUAGAAUCUUUCCAGCCUAUAUUUAUUCUUGCCUUAUUCAGCAAAUAUCCGAGAAUAGUGUUCAGUGUGUGUCACAGAAUGUGCCAGCAUGAUUAAAUUAUUAAUAUCAAAAAUUGAAAACAAUAAUAUGGCUUAAACUAAAAACAAUUUACUUAAAAUUUUAGAUAUACAAAUUCUGUUCCAAGUUUUUCCAGGAAAAAAUAUAAUUUAUAGUCUUUCCUAUAAUGCCUGCUCUCAAUAGAAGGGAGUUCAGCAGUGUAGGGCAAGUGGAUUAGAGGAAUCAAAGAGGGGAGAGAAAGAGAAGGUACCAGGAAAGAAGACUGAGUAAAUUCUGUCAUGUGCAUAUAUGCAAAUGGCUCAAAUUGCAAAUUCCCAAUAUUAUGUAAAAUUACAAUGCACAAAUAAAAACUUUAAAAAAGCAUACUUACUUUUAAAUAAAGUUUCCUGAGAGUUAUUUUCAUUGUCUUAUUUAAAAUACUAGCAAAGGAGAAGUAACUGUAAAUAAUACAAAAUGCUAAUACCUUUAUAAGGAUUAUUUAUAUUCUAGUUUAGAAUAUUGUUUGUUCCUUUACUGGUAAAUAGGUACAUCUUUGGUUUGGCACUUCACCACAUGCCAGCCAGUAAAGCCAUGCUCUUAAUAUUCAGCAGUAAUCA
Molecule: long non-coding RNA, 1397 nt
Filed under: Marmota monax (woodchuck)
Lineage: Eukaryota; Metazoa; Chordata; Mammalia; Rodentia; Sciuridae
Source: RNAcentral